This 465-nucleotide ribosomal RNA is filed under the name uncultured bacterium. RNAcentral's name for it is "partial 16S ribosomal RNA". It matches the Rfam family "Bacterial small subunit ribosomal RNA", at positions 339 to 795 of the family's 1533-position model. The record is from RNAcentral.
CUACGGGCCGCAGCAGUGAGGAAUUUUGCGCAAUGGGGGAAACCCUGACGCAGCAACGCCGCGUGAGUGAUGAAGGCCUUCGGGUCGUAAAGCUCUGUCAAGUGGGAAGAAACCGUCCCGCGUUAAUACCGCGGGGCUCUGACGGUACCACUGAAGGAAGCACCGGCUAACUCCGUGCCAGCAGCCGCGGUAAUACGGAGGGUGCAAGCGUUAUUCGGAAUUAUUGGGCGUAAAGGGCGCGUAGGCGGCUCGGAAAGUUAGAUGUGAAAGCCCGGGGCUUAACUCCGGAAGUGCAUUUGAAACUGCCGAGCUUGAGUAUGGGAGAGGGAAGUGGAAUUCCUGGUGUAGCGGUGAAAUGCGUAGAUAUCAGGAGGAACACCGGUGGCGAAGGCGACUUCCUGGACCAAUACUGACGCUGAGGCGCGAAGGCGUGGGGAGCAAACAGGAUUAGAUACCCCCGUAGUC